AGUAAGAUUUUUUUUUAUUUUGCUUUAAAGAAAAUGAAAGAUAGAUCAGAAACUAAAAAGUGUUCUAAAGCUAGCAGGAGUGCCUUUGUUACUUGAAGAAACCAGAGUUAAAUGCUCAUGAGAAUCUGGACUGCACCCUCAAAAUCGUUAAGAAAGGUCCAUUUGGGAAUACAAUAAUUCUACUUUAGAAGAAUUUUUGAGUACAACAAUAAUCAACAGACGUUUUAGAGGGUGUCAUUGAGAAGGUUUCCUGUGUGCUCAACAAAUGUGAGAUAAAUUGAAAAGUAACAUUGGAAUGUUGAUGAGAUGGCAUGAAAUGGAUCUUACAUGAUUCACUUCUUAAGAAAUGAACAAUGAAAGGAUAAAGAUUCCUGCACAGAACUUACGGACGUCAGUGUUGUUUGGUUUCAGCUGGAGAAAGUAGAGCCAAAAGUUCAGGUUGCAAUACUGGCAGCUGAGGAUCAAAGUAAAACAAUUUUGGUUGGGC
Long non-coding RNA from Hirundo rustica (Barn swallow), 487 nucleotides. RefSeq lists it as uncharacterized. The transcript has 3 exons. Lineage: Eukaryota; Metazoa; Chordata; Aves; Passeriformes; Hirundinidae. The record is from RefSeq and is a predicted model, not a curated record.